RNAcentral lists this transfer RNA (67 nucleotides) under Oxidus gracilis. RNAcentral's name for it is "tRNA-Phe". The record is from RNAcentral. RNAcentral also lists the same sequence under 1 other name. Lineage: Eukaryota; Metazoa; Arthropoda; Diplopoda; Polydesmida; Paradoxosomatidae.
GUUUGGGUAGCUUAAGAUAGAGCGGAACUUUGAAGGGGUUUUGGUAAGUUAUAAUAUUUCUUAAACA